This 515-nucleotide ribosomal RNA is filed under the name uncultured bacterium. RNAcentral's name for it is "partial 16S ribosomal RNA". It matches the Rfam family "Bacterial small subunit ribosomal RNA", at positions 28 to 523 of the family's 1533-position model. The record is from RNAcentral.
GAUGAACGCUGGCGGCGUGCCUAAUACAUGCAAGUCGAGCGAAUGGAUUAAGAGCUUGCUCUUAUGAAGUUAGCGGCGGACGGGUGAGUAACACGUGGGUAACCUGCCCAUAAGACUGGGAUAACUCCGGGAAACCGGGGCUAAUACCGGAUAACAUUUUGAACCGCAUGGUUCGAAAUUGAAAGGCGGCUUCGGCUGUCACUUAUGGAUGGACCCGCGUCGCAUUAGCGAGUUGGGGAGGUAACGGCUCACCAAGGCAACGAUGCGUAGCCGACCUGAGAGGGUGAUCGGCCACACUGGGACUGAGACACGGCCCAGACUCCUACGGGAGGCAGCAGUAGGGAAUCUUCCGCAAUGGACGAAAGUCUGACGGAGCAACGCCGCGUGAGUGAUGAAGGCUUUCGGGUCGUAAAACUCUGUUGUUAGGGAAGAACAAGUGCUAGUUGAAUAAGCUGGCACCUUGACGGUACCUAACCAGAAAGCCACGGCUAACUACGUGCCAGCAGCCGCCGCGG